UGACGGAGGGAGCUAGCGUUAUUCGGAAGUUACUGGGACGUAAAGCGCACGUAGGCGGCUUUGUAAGUUAGAGGUGAAAGCCUGGAGCUCAACUCCAGAAUUGCCUUUAAGACUGCAUCGCUUGAAUCCAGGAGAGGUGAGUGGAAUUCCGAGUGUAGAGGUGAAAUUCGUAGAUAUUCGGAAAGAACACCAGUGGCGAAGGCGGCUCACAUGGACUGGUAUUGACGCUGAGGUGCGAAAGCGUGGGGAGCAAACAGG
This 258-nucleotide ribosomal RNA is filed under the name uncultured bacterium. RNAcentral describes it as "partial 16S ribosomal RNA". It matches the Rfam family "Bacterial small subunit ribosomal RNA", at positions 523 to 776 of the family's 1533-position model. The record is from RNAcentral.